Molecule: ribosomal RNA, 252 nt
Filed under: uncultured bacterium
Lineage: Bacteria
Description: partial 16S ribosomal RNA
Rfam family: Bacterial small subunit ribosomal RNA
Source: RNAcentral
UACAGAGGUCCCAAGCGUUGUUCGGAUUCACUGGGCGUAAAGGGUGCGUAGGCGGUUGGGUAGGUCUGAUGUGAAAUCUCACAGCUUAACUGUGAAACUGCAUUGGAUACUAUUCGGCUUAGAGUUGGAGGGGGGACUGGAAUUCUUGGUGUAGCAGUGAAAUGCGUAGAUAUCAAGAGGAACACCAGUGGCGAAGGCGAGUCCCUGGACAACUUCUGACGCUGAGGCACGAAAGCUAGGGGAGCAAACAGG